GGAAGGAAGCCAAUUGCAGCAGCCAGCAGUUGCUGAAGGACAAACAGAGGAGCGAGUUACCGAAGUGACCUUGACUGCUGGACUGCCCAGAUCUACCACAGCACAGCGACUACAGAAUCUGAGG
Molecule: long non-coding RNA, 124 nt
Organism: Mauremys mutica (yellowpond turtle)
Lineage: Eukaryota; Metazoa; Chordata; Testudines; Geoemydidae
Exons: 2
Source: RefSeq, a predicted model, not a curated record